Molecule: ribosomal RNA, 2869 nt
Filed under: Phaeocystidibacter luteus
Lineage: Bacteria; Pseudomonadati; Bacteroidota; Flavobacteriia; Flavobacteriales; Phaeocystidibacteraceae
Description: Flavobacteria bacterium PG2S01 Bacterial large subunit ribosomal RNA
Rfam family: Bacterial large subunit ribosomal RNA
Source: Rfam by way of RNAcentral
AAGAAAGUAAGUAAGGGCAUACGGCGGAUGCCUUGGCUUCUAGAGGCGAAGAAGGACGUGAUAAGCUGCGAAAAGCUACGGGGAGGUGCACAUGACCAUAGAUCCGUAGAUAUCCGAAUGGGGCAACCCACCUAGUUGAAGACUAGGUACUCGAAAGAGAGCUAACCCGGAGAACUGAAACAUCUAAGUACCCGGAGGAAGAGAAAACAAUAGUGAUUCCCCUAGUAGUGGCGAGCGAACGGGGAAUAGCCCAAACCGAAUUUGUUUCGGCAAGUUCGGGGUUGUAGGACCAAGUUAUAUGAUGCAUCAUUAAGUGGAACUGUCUGGAAAGUCAGAUCAAAGAGGGUGAUAAUCCCGUACACGCAACGUGGUGUUAUUGUUAUUGGUAUCCUGAGUAGGGCGGGACACGUGAAAUCCUGUCUGAAACUGCCAGAACCAUCUGGUAAGGCUAAAUACUCCUAGAAGACCGAUAGUGAACAAGUACCGUGAGGGAAAGGUGAAAAGCACCCUGAAUAAGGGAGUGAAAUAGUACCUGAAACCGUAUGCUUACAAGCGGUCGGAGCAUCAUAAGGUGUGACGGCGUGCCUUUUGCAUAAUGAUCCUACGAGUUGCUCCUCACUAGCGAGGUUAAGAAUUUAAGAUUCGAAGCCGAAGCGAAAGCGAGUCUGAAUAGGGCGUGCAGUUAGUGGGGGCAGACGCGAAACCAAGUGAUCUACCCAUGGGCAGGUUGAAGCUCUGGUAACACAGAGUGGAGGACCGAACCGGUUGACGUUGAAAAGUCUUCGGAUGACCUGUGGGUAGGGGUGAAAGGCUAAUCAAACUUGGAAAUAGCUCGUACUCCCCGAAAUGCAUUUAGGUGCAGCCUCGGAGAUGAGUGUUAUAGAGGUAGAGCUACUGGUUGGAUGCGGGGGUUUCAUCGCCUACCAAAUCCUGUCAAACUCCGAAUGCUAUAACAUGCUCUUCGGGAGUGAGGGCAUGGGUGCUAAGGUCCAUGUCCGAGAGGGAAAGAACCCAGACCAUCUGCUAAGGUCCCCAAAUGUAUACUAAGUUGAUCAAACGUGGUCAGACUGCAUUGACAGCUAGGAUGUUGGCUUGGAAGCAGCCAUUCAUUUAAAGAGUGCGUAACAGCUCACUAGUCGAGCGGUCCGGCGUGGAUAAUAAUCGGGCAUUAAGUAUACUACCGAAGCAAUGGACUCGAAAGAGUGGUAGGGGAGCAUUCUAUUUGCGCCGAAGGUGAACUGCGAGGUUUGCUGGAGCGGAUAGAAAAGAAAAUGUAGGAAUGAGUAACGAUAAUGCGGGUGAGAACCCCGCACGCCGAUAGACUAAGGUUUCCUCAGCAAUGCUAAUCAGCUGAGGGUUAGUCGGGUCCUAAGGCGAACCCGAAGGGGGUAGUCGAUGGAUAACUGGUUAAUAUUCCAGUACUUGUAUAUACUGCGAUGGGGGGACGAAGUUGUGACAAUCCCGCGGCCUGACGGAAUAGGUCGUUAAAGCGAGUAGAUAAUGGUUUGGUAGUUAAAUGCGCCAGACUAGUCGAACGUGAUAGUACUCCAAGUCUUCGGAUGCGGAGAUAGUGGAUGUAAUCGUACUUCCUAGAAAAACCUCUAAGCUUCAGGUAUAUACAACCCGUACCGUAAACCGACACAGGUAGUCAAGGAGAGAAUCCUAAGGCGCUCGAGUGAAUCGUGGCUAAGGAACUAGGCAAAAUAGUCCUGUAACUUCGGGAGAAAGGACGCCUACUUCGGUAGGCCGCAGUGAAUAGGCCCAGGCGACUGUUUAUCAAAAACACAGGACUCUGCGAAAUCGAAAGAUGAAGUAUAGGGUCUGACACCUGCCCGGUGCUGGAAGGUUAAGAGGAGGUGUUAUCUUCGGAGAAGCACUGAAUUGAAGCCCCAGUAAACGGCGGCCGUAACUAUAACGGUCCUAAGGUAGCGAAAUUCCUUGUCGGGUAAGUUCCGACCUGCACGAAUGGUGUAACGAUCUGGGCACUGUCUCGGCCACGAGCUCGGUGAAAUUGUAGUAUCGGUGAAGAUGCCGAUUACCCGCAGCGGGACGAAAAGACCCCGUGAACCUUCACUACAGCUUAGUAUUGACUUCGGACAAAUAAUGUGUAGCAUAGGUGGGAGACUAUGAAGCUGUGUCGCUAGGCAUGGUGGAGUCGCCGUUGAAAUACCACCCUUUAUUUGUUUGGAGCCUAACCCCGCAAGGGGGACAGUGCUUGGUGGGUAGUUUGACUGGGGUGGUCGCCUCCAAAAGAGUAACGGAGGCUUCUAAAGGUACCCUCAGCACGCUUGGUAACCGUGCGUAGAGUGCAAUGGCAUAAGGGUGCUUGACUGUGAGACCUACAAGUCGAUCAGGUACGAAAGUAGAGCAUAGUGAUCCGGUGGUUCCGUAUGGAAGGGCCAUCGCUCAAAGGAUAAAAGGUACUCCGGGGAUAACAGGCUGAUCUCCCCCAAGAGCUCACAUCGACGGGGGGGUUUGGCACCUCGAUGUCGGCUCGUCACAUCCUGGGGCUGGAGAAGGUCCCAAGGGUUGGGCUGUUCGCCCAUUAAAGUGGCACGCGAGCUGGGUUCAGAACGUCGCGAGACAGUUCGGUCUCUAUCUGCUGUGGGCGUAAGAAAUUUGAGGGAAUCUGACUUUAGUACGAGAGGACCGAGUUGGACGUACCGCUAGUGUACCUGUUGUGGCGCCAGCUGCACCGCAGGGUAGCUAUGUACGGAAGGGAUAAGCGCUGAAAGCAUAUAAGCGCGAAGCCCAUCCCGAGAUGAGAUUUCUCUUAAGGGUCGUUCGAGACUAGGACGUUGAUAGGCUACAGGUGUAAAGGCAGUAAUGUCAUAGCCGAGUAGUACUAAUUACCCGUGAGCUUUCUUCC